This 333-nucleotide long non-coding RNA is filed under the name Marmota marmota marmota (Alpine marmot). Its description in RNAcentral is "lncRNA (ENSMMMG00000001922.1)". The record is from RNAcentral. Lineage: Eukaryota; Metazoa; Chordata; Mammalia; Rodentia; Sciuridae.
AUGAAUAUGCCAUUGUUGUUAUUAAUUGUGUUACCAAAUUUUUUCCCCUCAAGGAUUUGUUGCUGCUGCUAUAAUAAUUGGUAUCCUAAUUCUAGUCAAAAUUUUCUGGGACUAUGGAAAAUCAGGGUUGUCUGUAGGAGAUAAUCAUUGAUUUUUGGGCACACAUGUAUAACUUUGACAGUUUUGCUUGUGACGCUAGGAGCCAUUGGCUAUCUGACUUAGCCAAAGAAGAGUUAAGAAGAAAGUGUACUCAUGUACACAGAAUACUUGUAGUUUGUUAGAACGUUCUGGAGAAGUGGAUACAAUAAAUGCAGUAAUUCUCUAUGUUUUACA